AUUGAACGCUGGCGGCAUGCCUUACACAUGCAAGUCGAACGGCAGCACGGGUGCUUGCACCUGGUGGCGAGUGGCGAACGGGUGAGUAAUAUAUCGGAACGUGCCCGAUCGUGGGGGAUAACGGAGCGAAAGCUUUGCUAAUACCGCAUACGAUCUGAGGAUGAAAGCGGGGACCGUAAGGCCUCGCGCGAUCGGAGCGGCCGAUGUCAGAUUAGGUAGUUGGUGGGGUAAAGGCUCACCAAGCCGACGAUCUGUAGUUGGUCUGAGAGGACGACCAGCCACACUGGGACUGAGACACGGCCCAGACUCCUACGGGAGGCAGCAGUGGGGAAUUUUGGACAAUGGGCGCAAGCCUGAUCCAGCAAUGCCGCGUGCAGGAAGAAGGCCUUCGGGUUGUAAACUGCUUUUGUCAGGGAAGAAAUCCUUUGGGCUAAUACCUCGGGGGGAUGACGGUACCCGAAGAAUAAGCACCGGCUAACUACGUG
This 485-nucleotide ribosomal RNA is filed under the name uncultured bacterium. RNAcentral describes it as "bacterial SSU rRNA". It matches the Rfam family "Bacterial small subunit ribosomal RNA", at positions 30 to 507 of the family's 1533-position model. The record is from RNAcentral.